GUGGGGAAUCUUCCGCAAUGGACGAAAGUCUGACGGAGCGACGCCGCGUGAGUGAAGAAGGCCUUCGGGUCGUAAAGCUCUGUCAUCAGGGACGAACGGCCGGUGGAGUGGAAAGCCACCGGAUUGACGGUACCUGAGAAGGAAGCCACGGCUAACUACGUGCCAGCAGCCGCGGUAAUACGUAGGUGGCAAGCGUUGUCCGGAAUUAUUUGGCGUAAAGCGCGCGCAGGUGGGAUCUUAAGUCCAUUUUGAAAGUUCGGAGCUCAACUCCGUGAUGGGAUGGAAACUGGGAUUCUUGAGUACCGGAGAGGAAAGCGGAAUUCCCCGUGUAGCGGUGAAAUGCGUAGAUAUGGGGAGGAACACCAGUGGCGAAGGCGGCUUUCUGGACGGUGUCUGACACUGAGGCGCGAAAGCUAGGGGAGCGAACGGGAUUAGAAACCCCAGUAGUCC
RNAcentral lists this ribosomal RNA (450 nucleotides) under uncultured bacterium. RNAcentral describes it as "partial 16S ribosomal RNA". It matches the Rfam family "Bacterial small subunit ribosomal RNA", at positions 354 to 796 of the family's 1533-position model. The record is from RNAcentral.